Nicotiana tabacum (common tobacco) is the source of this 211-nucleotide long non-coding RNA. RefSeq lists it as uncharacterized. Lineage: Eukaryota; Viridiplantae; Streptophyta; Magnoliopsida; Solanales; Solanaceae. The record is from RefSeq and is a predicted model, not a curated record.
CCAAAUAACACCCCUAACCUUCCCCUCAAGCUCUCCAUAAGGGUUUCCAACAAGAUUAUCAUCCGGGGCACGAAAUCAAGUAGCGAUAACAUUAAAACGAUCUCUACGACAUUGAGUUGAGUUGUUUGAAGAGUAGCUUGGGAGGUAUUAAGGACUUGCCAUGAUUAAGGUCCCUAUUGAUAGGUUGACAUUCCUACGAGUAGGCUAUCAG